GGAUGAGUUGCGAACGGGUGAGUAACGCGUAGGUAACCUGCCUGGUAGCGGGGGAUAACUAUUGGAAACGAUAGCUAAUACCGCAUAAAAGUCGACAUCGCAUGAUGUUGACUUGAAAGGUGCAAUUGCAUCACUAAGAGAUGGACCUGCGUUGUAUUAGCUAGUUGGUGAGGUAACGGCUCACCAAGGCGACGAUACAUAGCCGACCUGAGAGGGUGAUCGGCCACACUGGGACUGAGACACGGCCCAGACUCCUACGGGAGGCAGCAGUAGGGAAUCUUCGGCAAUGGGGGCAACCCUGACCGAGCAACGCCGCGUGAGUGAAGAAGGUUUUCGGAUCGUAAAGCUCUGUUGUAAGAGAAGAACGAGUGUGAGAGUGGAAAGUUCACACUGUGACGGUAACUUACCAGAAAGGGACGGCUAACUACGUGCCAGCAGCCGCGGUAAUACGUAGGUCCCGAGCGUUAUCCGGAUUUAUUGGGCGUAAAGCGAGCGCAGGCGGUUAGAUAAGUCUGAAGUUAAAGGCUGUGGCUUAACCAUAGUACGCUUUGGAAACUGUUUAACUUGAGUGCAGAAGGGGAGAGUGGAAUUCCAUGUGUAGCGGUGAAAUGCGUAGAUAUAUGGAGGAACACCGGUGGCGAAAGCGGCUCU
This 651-nucleotide ribosomal RNA is filed under the name uncultured Bacilli bacterium. RNAcentral's name for it is "bacterial SSU rRNA". It matches the Rfam family "Bacterial small subunit ribosomal RNA", at positions 89 to 728 of the family's 1533-position model. The record is from RNAcentral. Lineage: Bacteria; Bacillati; Bacillota; Bacilli.